GACGAACGCUGGCGGCGUGCUUAACACAUGCAAGUCGAACGGUAAGGCCCUUCGGGGUACACGAGUGGCGAACGGGUGAGUAACACGUGGGUGAUCUGCCCUGCACUUCGGGAUAAGCCUGGGAAACUGGGUCUAAUACCGGAUAGGACUCCGGACUGCAUGGUCUGGGGUGGAAAGCUUUUGCGGUGUGGGAUGGGCCCGCGGCCUAUCAGCUUGUUGGUGGGGUGAUGGCCUACCCAGGCGACGACGGGUAGCCGGCCUGAGAGGGUGACCGGCCACACUGGGACUGAGAUACGGCCCAGACUCCUACGGGAGGCAGCAGUGGGGAAUAUUGCACAAUGGGCGCAAGCCUGAUGCAGCGACGCCGCGUGAGGGAUGACGGCCUUCGGGUUGUAAACCCCUUUCAGCAUCGACGAAGCGAAAGUGACGGUAGGUGCAGAAGAAGGACCGGCCAACUACGUGCCAGCAGCCGCCGUAA
RNAcentral lists this ribosomal RNA (478 nucleotides) under uncultured bacterium. RNAcentral's name for it is "partial 16S ribosomal RNA". It matches the Rfam family "Bacterial small subunit ribosomal RNA", at positions 28 to 523 of the family's 1533-position model. The record is from RNAcentral.